UACGGGGGGGGCAAGCGUUGUUCGGAAUUACUGGGCGUAAAGGGCGCGUAGGCGGCCUUCUAAGUCAGACGUGAAAUCCCCCGGCUUAACCUGGGAACUGCGUCUGAUACUGGGAGGCUUGAGUGCGGGAGAGGGAUGCGGAAUUCCAGGUGUAGCGGUGAAAUGCGUAGAUAUCUGGAGGAACACCGGUGGCGAAGGCGGCAUCCUGGACCGACACUGACGCUGAGGCGCGAAAGCUAGGGUAGCAAACGGG
This 253-nucleotide ribosomal RNA is filed under the name uncultured bacterium. Its description in RNAcentral is "partial 16S ribosomal RNA". It matches the Rfam family "Bacterial small subunit ribosomal RNA", at positions 524 to 776 of the family's 1533-position model. The record is from RNAcentral.